This 429-nucleotide ribosomal RNA is filed under the name Gemmatimonadota bacterium. RNAcentral's name for it is "Gemmatimonadetes bacterium partial 16S ribosomal RNA". It matches the Rfam family "Bacterial small subunit ribosomal RNA", at positions 355 to 776 of the family's 1533-position model. The record is from RNAcentral. Lineage: Bacteria; Pseudomonadati; Gemmatimonadota.
UAGGGAAUCUUCGGCAAUGGACGAAAGUCUGACCGAGCAACGCCGCGUGAGUGAAGAAGGUUUUCGGAUCGUAAAACUCUGUUGUUAGAGAAGAACAAGGACGUUAGUAACUGAACGUCCCCUGACGGUAUCUAACCAGAAAGCCACGGCUAACUACGUGCCAGCAGCCGCGGUAAUACGUAGGUGGCAAGCUUUGUCCGGAUUUAUUGGGCGUAAAGCGAGCGCAGGCGGUUUCUUAAGUCUGAUGUGAAAGCCCCCGGCUCAACCGGGGAGGGUCAUUGGAAACUGGGAGACUGGAGUGCAGAAGAGGAGAGUGGAAUUCCAUGUGUAGCUGUGAAAUGCGUAGAUAUAUGGAGGAACACCAGUGGCGAAGGUGUCUCUCUGGUCUGUAACUGACGCUGAGGCUCGAAAGCGUGGGUAGCAAACGGG